UAUGGCGCACUGAGAUGAAGUGACCGAACCGAGAUGAUGCAGCUCCGAAGUUUCGUCGUCAACUUACCAAAGUCGUUCUCUGAAUCCGAUUGAGUGCAUACAUGCAUCCUGUUUCCCAUUUUCUUAUUCUCCAGUUAGAAGGGUUACAAAGCCAAAACGCCAAAACCCCUCUUAAUCAGACCUCUUUCCAUAAAGAAACAAACAAUCAGAAGAGGGAGAAGCAAGAAGAUCAGCCAAACACGUCAUCUCCCUUCAGCUUAAGUUUCAGCUUCAUCUGGUAGACUUCAGAUUAAUAAAUAUUUUAUAUAUGAGAUAUAUACGCUAUGGAGUUCUUUAACAAAGCCCAGGCCGUUAGACUCCGAAGCCACCUCGGGAAGUAUCUAUUCGCCGACGACGAUGAAGAAACAGUUCGACAAAGCCGUAACGGCUCCACUCGCAGAGCAAGGUGGAUGGUGGAGAUAGUCCAAGGGAACAAACAGCUGGUGCGCGUCAAGAGUUUCUUCGGCCGAUAUCUGACCGUCUCCGACGUGCCAUUCCUCCUAGGAAUAACCGGGAAGAGAGUAUUACAGACCGUGCCGGGAACAACACCGGAGGCGGCAAUCGAGUGGGAGCCUAUCAGGGACGGGUUUCAGGUGAAGCUCAGAAACCGUGGCGGGAAAUACUUGCGCGCAAACGGAGGUACUCCGCCAUGGAGGAACUCGGUGACUUGUGACGUCCCUUGUAGUACUGCUACACAGGAUUGGGUGUUGUGGGACGUUGAGGUGGUUGAAGUACCAGAGUACGAAGCUCGGUCAUUCUCCGACUAUCGGUCCCAGUUAUCAAGUUUUUCUUCUCUGUCUCUAUCGGAGGAUUUGGUGGAUUCCGAACCAGAUUCACCGUGGUCGACGUCCUCAGGAGCUCUGACCCCUAAAUUAACCAGCUCGUGGUCGACGGUUUCGGCCGCUAUUUCUCUCUCUUCAAAGAAGAGUGGAGGAAUGGAAUUCUUCCAUAGAGCGAAGACCGUCCGCCUUCUGAGUCACCACGAGAAGUACCUUCUCGCCGAUGAAGACGAGGAGUCGGUGUGCCAAGACCGCAAUGGUUCGUGUCGGAACGCCAAGUGGGCCGUCGAGUUUGUCGAUGUGGGGAACUAUGUCCGUCUCAAGAGCUGCUACGGUAAAUAUCUUACCGCCACUAACGAUCACGUCCUUCUUGGGGUGACCGGAAAGAAGGUUCUUCAGACUGCACCUAGGAGACUGGAUUCCUCAGUCGAGUGGGAACCCAUCAGGGAAGGCUUUCAGGUCAAGCUCAAGACUCGGUACGGCAACUUCCUGCGCGCCAAUGGUGGUCUGCCGCCUUGGAGGAAUUCCGUCACUCAUGAUAUCCCUCAUACAUCAUCACAUCAAGAUUGGGUGUUGUGGGAAGUUGAUAUUAUCGAGAUACAAGAACCGCCCUUUCAUCCGCCUCGAGACGAUUCGGAUUCCGAACCUCUUUCGCCUUCCUCUAUCCUCAUCAAAUCUAACAAAUUAACAAAACUAGAGUCGAGUGAUUGCUUUGACACUUCACCCAAACCUGAUGGUCGGGUAAUCUACUUCCAUGUGAUGGACGAGAAAGGAAACGUUGACAAUAGAACUGAGGGUGCUUCCUUCAUUUUCAAGGGCACUGGGGUACAUGAGUUGACUAGCAAGUUGGAGGAAGAGACAGGACUCCAGGAUAUCAUUGUCUGCUCUCGUAAUCGGUUCAAUGGAAAACUUUAUCCCCUACGCUUGCAUCUUCCCCCCAACAAUGCAACUAUGCAUAUCGUUGUGGUUCCAUCCACAUUAAAGGGAACAACAGAUUAGGGGCAGGAAAUCCAAAAUGAGCUGCGCUGGACAUUGCCUCCCCAUGCACAAACAAAUGUGUGCACAUGUUCUAUACAUCUUGCUUCAGGAUAUCUGGCAAUGUGGAUCUGUUUACCAAGGAACAUGAAGAAAGCCCACAGUACCACCAUUAAGUAAUAUUUCAGAGAUUGAAACGAGAGCACAAGGAAACCACUUUCUUUUUCUCUUGCCCGAUUUACCAUAUAUGAUGAAUGUAAUAACUGUACGGUACAGAAUUGAGAAAGGGUUGUAUAUUCUCUAUGCAUUAGUGACAGGACUCCUCCAACUUUGGAAACAAACUCCAUCUCUGAAAAAUCUAGUCCAA
Molecule: RNA transcript, 2160 nt
Organism: Nelumbo nucifera (sacred lotus)
Lineage: Eukaryota; Viridiplantae; Streptophyta; Magnoliopsida; Proteales; Nelumbonaceae
Source: RefSeq, a predicted model, not a curated record